Molecule: ribosomal RNA, 1474 nt
Filed under: metagenome
Description: bacterial SSU rRNA
Rfam family: Bacterial small subunit ribosomal RNA
Source: RNAcentral
AGAGUUUGAUCCUGGCUCAGGACGAACGCUGGCGGCGUGCCUAAUACAUGCAAGUAGAACGCUGAAGAGAGGAGCUUGCUCUUCUUGGAUGAGUUGCGAACGGGUGAGUAACGCGUAGGUAACCUGCCUUGUAGCGGGGGAUAACUAUUGGAAACGAUAGCUAAUACCGCAUAACAAUGGAUGACCCAUGUCAUUUAUUUGAAAGGGGCAAAUGCUCCACUACAAGAUGGACCUGCGUUGUAUUAGCUAGUAGGUGAGGUAACGGCUCACCUAGGCGACGAUACAUAGCCGACCUGAGAGGGUGAUCGGCCACACUGGGACUGAGACACGGCCCAGACUCCUACGGGAGGCAGCAGUGGGGAAUAUUGCACAAUGGGGGAAACCCUGAUGCAGCGACGCCGCGUGGAGGAAGAAGGUCUUCGGAUUGUAAACUCCUGUUGUUGAGGAAGAUAAUGACGGUACUCAACAAGGAAGUGACGACUAACUACGUGCCAGCAGCCGCGGUAAAACGUAGGUCACAAGCGUUGUCCGGAAUUACUGGGUGUAAAGGGAGCGCAGGCGGGAAGACAAGUUGGAAGUGAGAUCCAUGGGCUCAACCCAUGAACUGCUUUCAAAACUGUUUUUCUUGAGUAGUGCAGAGGUAGGCGGAAUUCCCGGUGUAGCGGUGGAAUGCGUAGAUAUCGGGAGGAACACCAGUGGCGAAGGCGGCCUACUGGGCACCAACUGACGCUGAGGCUCGAAAGUGUGGGUAGCAAACAGGAUUAGAUACCCUGGUAGUCCACACUGUAAACGAUGAUUACUAGGUGUUGGAGGAUUGACCCCUUCAGUGCCGCAGUUAACACAAUAAGUAAUCCACCUGGGGAGUACGACCGCAAGGUUGAAACUCAAAGGAAUUGACGGGGGCCCGCACAAGCAGUGGAGUAUGUGGUUUAAUUCGACGCAACGCGAAGAACCUUACCAAGUCUUGACAUCCUGCGACGCACAUAGAAAUAUGUGUUUCCUUCGGGACGCAGAGACAGGUGGUGCAUGGUUGUCGUCAGCUCGUGUCGUGAGAUGUUGGGUUAAGUCCCGCAACGAGCGCAACCCUUAUGGUCAGUUACUACGCAAGAGGACUCUGGCCAGACUGCCGUUGACAAAACGGAGGAAGGUGGGGAUGACGUCAAAUCAUCAUGCCCUUUAUGACUUGGGCUACACACGUACUACAAUGGCGUUAAACAAAGAGAAGCAAGACCGCGAGGUGGAGCAAAACUCAGAAACAACGUCCCAGUUCGGACUGCAGGCUGCAACUCGCCUGCACGAAGUCGGAAUUGCUAGUAAUCGCAGAUCAGCAUGCUGCGGUGAAUACGUUCCCGGGCCUUGUACACACCGCCCGUCACACCAUGAGAGCCGGGGGGACCCGAAGUCGGUAGUCUAACCGCAAGGAGGACGCCGCCGAAGGUAAAACUGGUGAUUGGGGUGAAGUCGUAACAAGGUA